Molecule: ribosomal RNA, 253 nt
Filed under: uncultured bacterium
Lineage: Bacteria
Description: partial 16S ribosomal RNA
Rfam family: Bacterial small subunit ribosomal RNA
Source: RNAcentral
UACGUAGGGGGCAAGCGUUGUCCGGAAUUACUGGGCGUAAAGGGCGUGUAGGCGGCGGCACAAGUCAGAUGUGAAAUCCCAGGGCUUAACUCUGGAGCUGCAUCUGAAACUGUUUCUCUUGAGUAUCGGAGAGGAAAGUGGAAUUCCAAGUGUAGCGGUGAAAUGCGUAGAGAUUUGGAGGAACACCAGUGGCGAAGGCGGCUUUCUGGACGAUAACUGACGCUGAGGCACGAAAGCGUGGGGAGCAAACAGG